GACGAACGCUGGCGGCGUGCCUAACACAUGCAAGUCGAGCGGAGUCGAUCGACGGAAGCCUUCGGGCGGAAGAUGGUUGACUUAGCGGCGGAUGGGUGAGUAACGCGUGGGCAACCUGCCUCGAAGACCGGGAUAACAGCCCGAAAGGGCUGCUAAUACCGGAUGUGGUCAAAGAUCCGCAUGGAUUUUUGAUUAAAGGGGAAACCCGUUUCGAGAUGGGCCCGCGUCCUAUCAGCUAGUUGGUGAGGUAAAAGCUCACCAAGGCGACGACGGGUAGCCGGCCUGAGAGGGUGACCGGCCACACUGGAACUGAGACACGGUCCAGACUCCUACGGGGGCAGCAGUGGGGAAUCUUCCACAAUGGGCGAAAGCCUGAUGGAGCGACGCCGCGUGAGCGAAGAAGGCCUUCGGGUUGUAAAGCUCUGUCUGGAGGGACGAAGGAAGUGACGGUACCUCCGGAGGAAGCCACGGCUAACUACGUGCCAGCAGCCGCGGUAAAGUACUCUAU
This 508-nucleotide ribosomal RNA is filed under the name uncultured bacterium. RNAcentral's name for it is "bacterial SSU rRNA". It matches the Rfam family "Bacterial small subunit ribosomal RNA", at positions 28 to 532 of the family's 1533-position model. The record is from RNAcentral.